UAGAUACCCCACUAUGCCUAAAAGUAACAAGGCAACAAAAACAACACAAGUUGCUCGCCAAACCACUACGAGUGAAAACUUAAAAUUUAAAAGACUUGACGGUACUUCACCCAACCUAGAGGAGCCUGUCUAAUAACCGAUAACCCACGAUCAACCCAACCGCCACUAGCCACUCAGCCUAUAUACCGCCGUCGCCAGCCCACCUUGUGAAAGAAACCAAGUGAGCACAAUAGUCCCACACUAACACGACAGGUCGAGGUGUAGCUUAUGGGGCGGACAAAGAUGGGCUACAUUAUCUAAACCAGAUAAAACGGAAAAAGCCGUGAAAACAAGCCUUAUGAAGGAGGAUUUAGCAGUAAGAUGAGGACAUAAUACUCAACUGAAAACAAAGAAAUGAAGUGCGUACACACCGCCCGUCACC
This 421-nucleotide ribosomal RNA is filed under the name Boa imperator. RNAcentral describes it as "partial 12S ribosomal RNA". Lineage: Eukaryota; Metazoa; Chordata; Lepidosauria; Squamata; Boidae. The record is from RNAcentral.